AACGAACGCUGGCGGCAAGCUUAACACAUGCAAGUCGAACGGACAGUUAUUUAUAGCCUCGGCUAUGAGUACCUGUUAGUGGCAGACGGGUGAGUAAUGCGUAGGAAUCUGCCUAGUAGAAUGGAAUAGCUAUUAGAAAUGAUAGGUAAUACUGUAUAAUCCCUGCGGGGGAAAGAUUUAUCGCUAUUAGAUGAGCCUACGUUAGAUUAGCUAGCUGGUAAGGUAAUGGCUUACCAAGGCAAUGAUCUAUAGCUGGUCUGAGAGGACGAUCAGCCACACUGGAACUGAGAUACGGUCCAGACUCCUACGGGAGGCAGCAGUGGGGAAUAUUGGACAAUGGGCGAAAGCCUGAUCCAGCUAUGCCGCGUGA
RNAcentral lists this ribosomal RNA (370 nucleotides) under Ehrlichia ruminantium (heartwater rickettsia). RNAcentral's name for it is "bacterial SSU rRNA". It matches the Rfam family "Bacterial small subunit ribosomal RNA", at positions 29 to 404 of the family's 1533-position model. The record is from RNAcentral. Lineage: Bacteria; Pseudomonadati; Pseudomonadota; Alphaproteobacteria; Rickettsiales; Anaplasmataceae.